AUCUGUGACUUCCAGAAGCCAUGGCUUUUUUUGUCCAAAAGCUAAAGCUGCUUGACACCUCCUUUUAGAAGCAGAAGCUCGUUGAAAUACUGUAGCGCUGAUCACUGUAGUUAAAUGACUUUUGUGUAAUACCGAUAGUACCCUCGUCUGCUUCAAUGGAUUACAGAGAAUUGUCAUGAAACCCUCGUCUUCUCUUAACGCAUGAGCCGUUCUCAUGAACCUCUCUCUCCCUCCCGUCUCUCUUUGAACGACAUCGAUCUAACACUCUGGGUUCAGUCACGAUUCGUGAAUCAUCAAUCAAAAUUCUGGGUUCAAGCAGGCAACGCAUCAGAAGAGCAUCUGAAACUGAGUCUCCAACAGCUGCAAGUGAAGGUGAAGGAGGAGGAGAUGAACCAUAUGAGGAGUACGAGCCUUCAAUGAGAGCUUGUUGUUGUUCUGCUCUGUCUAUCAUGCCCUUCCACCGUUCUUAAGGAAGGACCGAGGGAAUAUUAGGUGUACACCAUAAUGAAAUUUGUUAUAUUUACAUAUCUGGAUUAGAAGAGUGGGAAAGAAUAACUGAGGAUUCUUUGAAAUCACUAAUGAAACACCUUUUUCUUCCAGUGGGAUAGAGACAUGCCAGACUUCCUGCACAAGAUAGCAGCACUGUCUACUUUGGAAAUCAAGAGCAGAUGCAAAAUUACUUGAGGAAAAAGGAACAAAAAGCACAAAAAGAAAGCGAUCUCCGGGUAGGACUGCAGCUUUACAAGAGUGGCAAAUAUGAGGAAGCACUGGAGAAAUUUGAGUCUGUAUUAGGUUCAAAGCCAGACACAUUUGAAGCUUCAGUUGCAACUUACAAUGUUGCUUGUUGUUAUUCUAAGCUUAAUCGGGUAUUGCUCUUGUUCACAUGAACAAGAAUACUACUAUUACAUUUGAGCUCGUGUUUUCAGCAUUUCUUCCGGAUUUGAAGACUUUAAGGGUUAUUUCAGUACUGAGAAAAUACCAUGAUCUAUUCCAUUCAGAUUCUUAUGAAAUUCACUCUACUGUCAACAGA
This is a long non-coding RNA of Argentina anserina (silverweed cinquefoil), 1030 nucleotides long. RefSeq lists it as uncharacterized. The record is from RefSeq and is a predicted model, not a curated record. Lineage: Eukaryota; Viridiplantae; Streptophyta; Magnoliopsida; Rosales; Rosaceae. The transcript is spliced from 5 exons.